ACCCUAGAAUCCUCAACGUCUCAGCCACUCCUCUGGCCUUUUGCCACAUUCUUUUUAUCCUUCUAUAAAUACUUUAUUUGUUCAUCCAACCACAAGCAUCCUGAAGGUAGCUUUGGAUUUUAUAUCCCCCAUGAAUCCAUAGCACAUGGUUCUGUACAUAUAGGUAAGCAUUGUAUAAAUGUUUUCUGAAGGAUCCAAGAUAAAUAAGAAUUUCCUUUCUCGUGGAAAAAAGAAGUAUCACUAGCAAAAGUAGGGGGAAGGUGCAUCUUUGAAAAACAAAAGAAGCUGAGUUAAUGAGUUAGAGCAUUCUGAGAUAUGUAUCACUUUGGAAUUAGAGUAGCAGGCUUGGAAAUGAAAAGACUGGGUUCAAAUUUAAGCUUGGCCCAUCACAUGAAGCAGGACAGUGCAACAAACUAAUUAGGUACAUUUGUAGAGUAAGGACAGCACUCAUCUUGCCAACUUCAUAUGGGAAAAUGGAUAUAAGCGGAUUUUAGGGGAUAGAGGUGGCCCGUGCAAUUAUGAUUGCUGCACCAUAAACAGAACUGCAGCUUCUCUGAACUACAGAAGAGCCCCCAUCUGCCCCUUGCUCCACUCUAUCUCUCGCUUUCUACUCUGCACACAUAGUCACAGGAAACUUAUGUAAAGAAGCAGGGUUUUCUUGGAGUAAAGUUCCCAGGUAAAAGGAGCUACCAUUCCUGGUCAAAGUCCCUGGGUUUAACAGAUUUCACUCACUCGCAUUUCCUUGUUACCUGUGGAGAGAGUCUGACAAGACAAGAAAAGCACUAGAUUAAAAAUCACGAGAUGACUUCUAGUCUUAUCUUAGUUCUUUCACUCAUGCCCUGUGACUCCCUUCCUGAGCCCUCAGUUUCCCCAUCUCCAAAAUGAGGUUAGGCCAGAUAAACUCUAAGUUCCCAUCCAUUACUGACAUUCUAAGGAUUCUAGAAAAAACUAGUAACUUUAGUAAUAAGCAAGGCUAUCCAUUCCAAAAUAGUCCUUUGGGUUCCAUCUGACUUUCAACCAUCAGGUUUUCAAAGUUCUAAA
Molecule: long non-coding RNA, 1041 nt
Organism: Perognathus longimembris pacificus (Pacific pocket mouse)
Lineage: Eukaryota; Metazoa; Chordata; Mammalia; Rodentia; Heteromyidae
Exons: 2
Source: RefSeq, a predicted model, not a curated record